Molecule: long non-coding RNA, 522 nt
Organism: Lycium ferocissimum
Lineage: Eukaryota; Viridiplantae; Streptophyta; Magnoliopsida; Solanales; Solanaceae
Exons: 2
Source: RefSeq, a predicted model, not a curated record
GUGUAUGAACAAGGGUUUUGUCGAAACCCGAGUAGCGUCACAGCCUUCAUCUCUUCUCUCCCAUCGCAUCAUCGAGCUAAAAAUGGCAAAUUUGAAGUGUACAACUGCUUUAUGGCAGAGCUGCUCGAUCAUUUGGGUAAAGCAUUAAUUUCUUAGCCUCUUUCCACCGUAUCUCAAUCCAAAUGAGUUUCUUUUGAUCGAGUCUGCUAAGAAAAAGUAAAAGGGAAGCUAAUAUGUUUUGAAGGCCCAGCCAAUGUGAAAUGGCACUGAUGGGCUUGGGUAGGCCCAUCAGUUAAAAAUUUCACUCUUCUCCUUUCUCCAUCUAUAUAUUUACGUGUAUAUAUUGUAUGUAUACUGAGUAUGUGAAUAUUGGAACCCUUGUGCAUGCUAGAACUUAGGAAGAACGCCUAGUAUUUUUAAGAGGAUGCCAAAAACUCUUUUUCCAAACUCGUUUAAUGUUUAAUUUCGCAUAAAAUUAGAACUCGGUUUGAUAGUGAAUUUUUUCUCAAAUUUUGGUUAAAC